GCCGGGCGUGGUGGCGCGUGCCUGUAGUCCCAGCUACUCGGAAGGCUGAGGUGGGAGGAUCGCUUGAGUCCAGGAGUUCUGGGCUGCAGUGCGCUAUGCUGAUCGGGUGUCCGCACUAAGUUCGGCAUCAAUAUGGUGACCUCCCGGGAGCGGGGGACCACCAGGUUGCCUAAGGAGGGGUGAACUGGCCCAGGUCGGAAACGGAGCAGGUCAAAACUCCCGUGCUGAUCAGUAGUGGGAUCGCGCCUGUGAAUAGCCACUGCACUCCAGCCUGGGCAAUAUAGUGAGACCCUGUCUCU
This 299-nucleotide signal recognition particle RNA is filed under the name Cavia porcellus (domestic guinea pig). RNAcentral's name for it is "Metazoan signal recognition particle RNA (ENSCPOG00000040010.1)". It matches the Rfam family "Metazoan signal recognition particle RNA". From Rfam's summary of the family: The signal recognition particle (SRP) is a universally conserved ribonucleoprotein. It is involved in the co-translational targeting of proteins to membranes. Lineage: Eukaryota; Metazoa; Chordata; Mammalia; Rodentia; Caviidae. The record is from RNAcentral.